Molecule: ribosomal RNA, 460 nt
Filed under: uncultured bacterium
Lineage: Bacteria
Description: partial 16S ribosomal RNA
Rfam family: Bacterial small subunit ribosomal RNA
Source: RNAcentral
CCUACGGGUGGCAGCAGUGAGGAAUAUUGGUCAAUGGCCGAGAGCCUGAACCAGCCAAGUCGCGUGAGGGAUGACGGAUCUAUGGUUUGUAAACUUCUUUUAUAUGGGAAUAAAGUGAGGAACGCGUUCCUCUUCGUAUGUACCAUAUGAAUAAGCAUCGGCUAACUCCGUGCCAGCAGCCGCGGUAAUACGGAGGAUGCGAGCGUUAUCCGGAUUUAUUGGGUUUAAAGGGUGCGUAGGUGGUUAAUUAAGUCAGCGGUGAAAGUUUGUGGCUCAACCAUAAAAUUGCCGUUGAAACUGGGUGACUUGAGUGUAUGUGAGGUAGGCGGAAUGCGUGGUGUAGCGGUGAAAUGCAUAGAUAUCACGCAGAACUCCGAUUGCGAAGGCAGCGUACUAGACUAUAACUGACGCUGAAGCACGAAAGCGUGGGGAUCAAACAGGAUUAGAUACCCCAGUAGUC